This 8810-nucleotide long non-coding RNA is filed under the name Triticum aestivum (bread wheat). RNAcentral's name for it is "long non-coding RNA (TAES_LNC019856)". Lineage: Eukaryota; Viridiplantae; Streptophyta; Magnoliopsida; Poales; Poaceae. The record is from RNAcentral.
UCGAAUUCAUAUGUUCAUGCUAUGCUCAUGUUGUUCUAGCUGUAUCAUGUUCAUGUUGCGCAAGUCAUGUUGUUAUGAGGAUCUCAUGUUAAUUCCUGCUUAACCUGUAAAUGCCAUGCUGAUGUUUGUCUUGAAUGCUUCUGGUUAAUGUGAGCUUGCAAGUACAUUCAAUGUACUGACCUGGCAUGUCAUGCCAGCUUGCAGGUCGUGCCUGGAUUUCUUUCUUGUUUGGUGUUGUUCUUGUGUUUGCGAGCUAGGAUAAGCAUUCCAGCCAGAGUCCCUGCGGAGUGGAGUUCACCACCGUCGUCGUUGUUCCGCCGCCAGUAGUUAUUGCGCUGCCUCAACUUGCUAUGCUGCUUGCAUAGAGCAACUGAGGAUGGCGUAGUGUCGUCGUGCCGAUGUUAUUCAUUGUAAUAUCGGAGACCUUGUAUUCAUAUUCGUGUAUUAAUAGAAAGCUGGUUUGUUCUAUGCUAAGCAGUGCCGUAUUCCAGAAGACUUCACCUCGAUCUCUGGGCUGGAAUACGGGGCGUUCCGGUUUUCUCUGAGCCGGGGUGCCACAGGCUUGGUAUCAGAGCAGGUCUGGCUGUAGGAUGCCCUAGCCCGCCCGAACGUUAGAAAGCGGUAGUAUAGACCCCAGUUGGUUUGUUGCAUUUGUUUGUCGCAUAGCAUGUAUAUAGAUUAUUAUUUUGUCACUAACGGUUGAUCUUGUGAGUGUAGGCGGCAUCGUUUUCGGUCCACCGCCUGCACCCUCCUUCUUAGCAUGCCUGCUCUUCGGUGUGAUUCGACCACAUCAUCAUCCAUUGCCCUCCAUCUCGUUCUUUUGGCAACCCUUGCUGAUCUUUGUUAUCAGAAAAGGGUAAUGCCAUUAAACCCCGUCUUCCACUGUUAUCUUGCCUUGUCAUUUCAUUCUUUGGACGGGUACGAUUCCCUUCGUACGCUUGAUGAUGAGGUGGUCGUGACUUUUGUGUCUCGCUACUUGAUCGUCAAGUCCGUCCUCACCUGUGUAUCCAUCCAGAUCCAGCCACUGUUCAGCCAGUGCUUGGUGUAGCUUCGGUUACGCCAACUCCUUCCACACAUGGAUAUAAUUUUCGUGCACACCGCCACAGCAUAUUAGACCGUAGUACCGGAGUUUCCAUGUGAUUAGUGUGCUUAGGUGUGCAUGCAUAUUAUGGUGUGAGUAGCAGUAAUAUGUGAAGAUUGCUUGAUUAAUUAUAUUAGUAGUAUGCUUGUGUGCUUUUGUUUUAGUUAUAUCUUUUGUUUGUUUCUUUGGGCCUUUGGUGUUACAAAUUUUCCCCUAUUAAAGUUGCUCGUCAGCCGACACCGGACCCGAAGAGUCAGCAAGAAAUGCAUAUAUUUGGAAACUCGGUUAAACAAGAAUGGAAUUGUCAGCAGACUGCAGUGAAAUUGGAAAUAGCUCGUCUGAAUACAAAAGAAAUCCUGGAUGGAAUGUCAGUAUAAAGUUUGCAUUAACAUGCACUCCUCACAACAGUAUGGAAUUCUCAGCCGACUGCAUUCAGAUUGGGGGAUAUCUGGUCAUGUUACUGAGUGUCAAGUCUCCCUCAGCGUGUACUCCUCAUAGCACAAAUGAUCAAAUCAGCAAGAAGAUAAAUUGUGUGCAUGGUUGAUAAAAUAUUAUCAAAGGUAUGGCUCAGAUACAAGUUUAAUUUUUCGUUGAGGAUGAUUUUGGAACCCGAUGUACCUGGAAGCAAGCAAAAAUAUGGCAUGUACUCAGAAAGGAGGAUAGUCCUGCAAAACCCCGUUUCAUACAAGAAAUCAAGAACAAAAUUUUUAAGAUGGUUAUAUAUGUGGAAAUCGGUUCGCAUAUCACAAUAAGAAGCUUCUGGUGUAAGAAACCCAAUCUUCCCUCGCAAGAUACCCGAGAAGCUUCCAAGGCAAGAUUCAUCUAUCUUCCUCAGUAUGAUACAUGGAUGAUUUCCCGUACAAGGUACUCUGCCUUCUUCAGUAAGCUACCGCAAAAGCUUCCGGCAUAAGGUACCGAGUCUUUCCCCAGCAAAGUCUUUAAGGGGGUAAGCUUCUGAAGCACGAUACCCAGUCUUCUUCAGCAAGCUGUCCGAUGAAAGUUUCGAGCACAAACCAGCCAAUCUUCCCUAGUAAGACAUUGGUACAAGGUAGUAUGAUGUGAAUUGAUAGCAUAUGGCAGUGAAUCCCAAGAAUCAGAUCCGCAACAUUUAGGUCAGAAGCAAGAAUCAGUCAGAAUACAUGUCUGUCUCGGGAAUCAGAUUCUCAUAUAUAUGCGGUGAGCAUACCAGCAAGAUCUUACAAGUCACUCAGAUGAGGAUAUGACAACCACGUGAGGAUGGUUAAGAGAAGAAAGCCAGUAUACACCGCAGUGUGACAAAGGAUUAUGAGGAUUGACGACAUCAAUGGCUCAAUGCAAGUACCUGUGAACCUGGAAAAUGAUCCUGAUGAGCCCUUGUCCCCUUUUUUCUCCAAUGAUGGCACCAUGCCUGUGAUCUAAGCUGUUUUUAGCUAUCCGGGGUGGAUGCCGAUUUUUUAUUUCUCUCUUCAACGACUGUCACGAGUUCUGAGCUGCUUUUCGGCCGUCUCGUACAGCUGUUGAGUUUCUUUUUGUGACAGUAGCCCUAUAGCUGCUUUUUGGCUAUUUUAGGGAGCUGCCACCUUCUUCUUAUCAACCCGAUCUCAUGUUCUGAGCUGCUUUUCGGCCGUCCUGCGCCAUGGUUGAGUUAUUUCAGUAAUGUCCCAGAUCUGAGUUGUAAAGACCGUUCUGGUGGCUACUGAUUUAUUUGCCGAUUUCUUGCAAAGGUUCGGAUGAUCAUUUUCCUGCGGUCAGAACUUGAGGGGUGUUGAACCUGCCAUUUAAUGGGGUACCCUGUCAGAAAAAUGAGGAUAAGCUGCGAUUGCCGAAAAAUUGCACUGACAGUACCUAUGGUGAUAAGAAGAAGCAAUAUGACCCAGCUCUUUCAGCCAAGGAUCCUGGCCAAGAAAACAAUAAUGAAGGAGCAAGACCAGUGAUGCAGGUAUGAAAAUUGUUGCAAGACCCGCGUGGUGCAGAACCACCGUCAGUCAAGUCUACAGAUAUUAUCAUACAAGUCAAACUCUUAUGCUAGCCACGACAGGCGACAAUCAAAUAUUUGGUACGGAUCCGAUACUCAAGACAGUGGAACCAGUUAAGAUGAUUCAGAAGCUUCCGCGAUAAGCCAGAAUUUGUCAGGAAAGCGGUUAUGACCCAACUCGCUGUUUGGAACCCGAAGGACCUGCAUUUAGUGGAGAAAACCAAUGCAAGGAUUUAGAGCUUGGGUGUCCACUAGAAAAAAUCUGAUCACCACUUCAUGAAAGAUUGUCAAUGACACACCCAGCAGAAAUCACUCUUGGAUUUGUGAAACCGACGUAUAUUUCAGUCGUGAGAAUCCAUCACAGUCAGCUAAGUCAGCAGAUCUAAAAAGAAAUUGGAGCCUGUAUAAGCAUGAACAAGCAAGGUAAGAUCUGUCAGAAUAUGGAUAUAUUAAAGCAAACCACCCCAGGACCAGUCAGAUAAAAAUUUAGGGGGGACAAAAAUAAGAAAAAGGAUACCCGAGUUGGAAACGGUUUCCUUAAGUCAGUAUCUUCAUACUUGUUCCCUGAGCAACCAAAUCUCGAGGACGAGAUUUCUUUAAGGGGGUAAGGUUUGUAACAGCCUGAUUUUUGGCCCUUUCUUUUUCUUUUGUUUUUCUGAGGUUUUUCCUUGAGAUUUCUUUUUCCGUGGCUUUGUGGUCUGGAAACUGAACAAGAUGCCCUCUUGUUUAUUUCCAGAGUGGCUUGUCAUUCCCAAAUCCUUCCCUAGACCCCGUCAUUUUCAUCCUAGCCCAAAUCCCAAUAUUCUCUUCAUUGGGAAUAUUCCUUUUCUACUAAAGGAAUAACUCAAGUUGCCCUAGGUUGUGAAGCAACCUUUACUUCCAUCACUCCUAAAAUUCCCAAAUAAUUCUCAUAAAUGUUUUGGGUCAUAUCUUUCCCAAAUAUGGUAAAAUAUUUCAUUUGUCAUGUUUAUCAUCAUGCUCAAAUAAUUCAUUUCCUAUUCUACCCUAAAUGGCACAUUGUGAAGCAAGUGCUAUUUUCCUUUUCCCAAGUGACCUCAAACUCCUUGGACACCUUUUCCUGUCCAUAUCAUUGCCACAUGCCAAAAUGCAACCUCAUUUGGCUAGUAAUUAUUUAAUUAUGAUUUUCCAAAGUUUCUAUCCAGAAAGAAGCUUUGUGAAGGAGGUGCAAUCUAGGCAUAUCCAAAUGAGUUUCCAUUUUGCAUGAUCCCUCAUAUCAUCAUAUCAUAGCCCUCCACCAAAGUAGAGCUCAUGUCAUGCCUCCAUGUGAGCUCAUCUUCAAUUCUUUGAUUCUGUCCAAAAUUUCAGCUUGUGAAGCAAGUAUAUUUUAUCUUGCUCCAUUAUGGCUGCCAAUUUUUCUAGGCCUUCUGUUAUCCAUAUAACCUACCUCCACCCAUUUUGGGCAUGUCUCAUCAAGCCAUUAUUUCUCUAGAAUUUUUCCAAGAUUCUGCACAGAAAUGAUGUUUGUAAAGAAAGUACCAUUUUAGAUGGUCCAUUUGGUAUGAGCUUUUUACAGCAUCUUUAUAUUUCCAUAUCAUGAGGAUUUGCCAAGUUGCAUCCCAUUCCAUAACUCCAUGUGAGUGCAUCAUCCAAAUCAAGUUUCUGGACCAAAAAUGCAGUUGCAAAGCAACCCUAUUAUUUAUUGGUCCAUUUCUUCUCUAAAUCUCCAGUAUUGUAGUUCUUCCUUAGUUAAACCUCCCAGACAACUCCUUUGACCUCAAUCAAGUCUCUGUGGAUUAGCAGUGCUCGUCCAAGUUUACUGAAGUAAACUUCAGAGCUUGAUUACCAUUUAACCAGAGAGAUUUUAACCAAACUACCACCGCAGUAGGAACCUCCCCUGGAUGAACUUGCCACUAGACAACACGCUCCAGAUCAUUUCCCCCGCUACAUGCCAGUGCACGCGGUGACCGCGUUAAUGGCAAGCCUGUGCGCGCGCUCUGCUACAAUUGGCCACACCCAGGAUGGAUUCUUGCUCGGGCCCCUCCUCCUCUCAUCGUAUUAGCACGCGUGAGCAUGUCCCUUGGCUUCACCUCGUCGUCGCCGAUCACAUGGACCCCGCUCCCCCUCAGGCAGCUUCCUCACCGACGAAAGCCGCAGCGUGCCCACGGGCGCACAGUGGCGUUUGGCUCGGUUCAUCGCCGUCGCCUUCCUCCUUGCGCUCCGUUGGCCUCCUCUGCCCCGUGAGACACUCCACUGCUCCUCCCCCGUCGUCUACCAGCGAGCUCAUGCGCGUGCACACACGUCCGCGGCGCCGGACACGCGUCCGCGGCGGCGCCAGCGCGACACUCCCUCGCCCGGCUAUAUAUAGCCAUCCCCGCGGCCUCCCGAGCACCUCAUCAGCCUCGCCUCACUCCCAGCUUCCUCCUCGUCCACUAGCCCGAGCUCGAGCAGCUCUCCUCGACCCCCAUCGCCGCCAUGCCCGCCGCUCUGCUCAGCUCAAAUUCGAGCUGGGCAGUGCCCCUCCCCCUCUCUUUCCACCACCAGUAGACUCCUCCUCCACCUAGACUUCGCCCCCGUGCUCUCCCUCCCCUCCGGUGGCCUUCUGCCAUGAGCUCGCCGCCGACCGAAGAUCGCCGUCCGCCGCGGCUGGCCUCCCGCUCAGCCGAGCCCUACCCCGCGGCUGCAUCUUGCCUGGAUGGAUCCGCCUCGUUGCGCUGAUCACGCCGGUAGGUCGCACGCCGCGAGAGGUGGCCGGAGUGGCCGGGAAUCCGCGUCGGGCCGCCGGUCUCGUCUCUACAUCGCGGGCGAGCGGGAGGAGGAAGAAGGAGCCAGGCCAGGCAGGCCCCAUCUCCACGCGGCCCCACCUGUCGGCGGGCAGGCGUUGACCCCGCCUGCCUAGCUGGAUAAGUGAGGGGCCCCACAGCCCGUGGGACCCGCACGUCAGCGACCCCACGCCCGGCCCCGCCACUGUCCACGUGGAUAAGUGGAAGCGUACUUCGCAGAAGUACGUUUUCGCCUUCAGAAAGCGUAUUUCUCUUCUGCUCCAGUCGUAAGUGCGCUUUCAUAGUUUGAAAACUAUUUUCUUCUUAGGCGCCUUCUGUUUUCUCACUCAGGGGCCUGUUUGUAGAGAUUCUUUUACAAAUCGGUCCCUGAACUUCGUCGGGCUAUAUCUUUUUACUCCCAACUCCAAAUGAGGUGAUUCCAAAGCCCAUUUCUUUGUCUCGUCGAGCCCGUUCUGUUGGUUUCAUUUUCACUAUGGUUUGACACUGUGAAAAUGACCAUUUUUUCCCUUGCCCGUAAACAGCCCCUCCGAGAGAGAACUGUUUCCGGCAAAUCUUUCCGCGAGCUUCUCGCGCUUCUUCCCUGUGUUUUCUUCAUCCCCAGGCAAGCCACAAUACCCACUUGCAUGAUAGUCAUGCAGUAGCCAUGGUUUUCAACUUGAAUAUUUAUUAAAUGAUUGGUUGUUUAAAAUAUGGUUAUCGUUGUUUUGGUAAUGCUUCUGGGUUAGUGCUUACUUGCUUGAUAUGUUGUUAUGCACCUGGUUAUCAUGCCCUGCUAGUUGCUAGUAUUACUUUCAUAUUUCCAUGCUUGAUAGUAGUACAUGUUGGGUUGGUCAUGUUCUUCGGUGCAUGAUUAACGUCGGUUAUCGAGUACUGUUAAUAUGCGUUCUUCCUUUGCUGUUAGUUGGUUAAGUGUUACUCGGUAAUGUUAUUGAUGAGUUCUUGCAUGGUAUUUAUGGUUGAUGCUAGUGGUCAUGUUUUACUAUGAGUAGUGUUGCACUUGUAAUAGUUAUGCUCGUCAUUAUGCCAUGUUCAGUUGGAGAUUAUUCAUAGUUGAUAUGGUGGAUCGUUAUGUUGUACCCUCAUGCUUAUGUUGAUCUCAUGCUCAUGCUUUGUAUAUGCAUCAUGUUAUUUUAUCAUGGCUCAGCAUAUUGCAUUCAAGUUUAACCAGAUUAAAUUCAACUUGAACAACUGUUGGCUGAGUCAUGGUGCCACCAUAUCGAAACUGACCAGUGCAACCACGCUUACCUUAUGGGAAGGUCCUAACUGGGUCUAUUGUCGUGCCUCUCGCCGGUGCCUCUAACGAGGGAAGGUUAUGGGCGCGCGCUACCCUGAUCAGGUAGGCGGACAUAACCUUGUGUGCCCGUUGUUGUUAUUAUGGAUCCGGUCCCCGUGAGGGACGUUUUGGCCACGACAGUGGUCGUUGUGUCUUUGGUAGAUACGGGGCCACCCAGGACUAGCCCAGUUGGGAGUGGGUCGGAGUGGCCGGGAGAGUGUCAUGGCAAUAGAUCGGUUUUGUCGGAACGCCGUUGGUCCACCCGAAUGGGAGUGCGAGGCCAGGGGUUCCGUGGUGUGGGUACAGUGUACUAACCUCUGCAGAGUGUAUAUUAAAUCUAUCGAUAGCCGCGCCCGCGGAUAAGGGCCCAGUUCGUGUCGGUCACACCGUGAGUCAACAGUAUUAAUAAUAACUUGAUUAAUGACAACCCCGGUUUGAUGAUGAGAUAACUUGGUUGUGAUCGCCGGAAAGAUCACCGUUUGAUACCAAGUGUUGGUCAUGGUUGUGAUCGCCGAAAUGAUCACCGUGGUAUCGAGGAUACCGAGUUGUUGGAUAUUCGUGAUGUUGUGCGAGAAUCAUGGGUAAAGAUCAAGCUCCUUGUGGUCAUUUAAUGAUUACUACGGUAUUGUUUAUACCAAGCUUGAUUUGAUCCUGAGAUGAUCGUGUGAUGUCCGAGGUUGGUAAGUGAUGCAUGUGAUGGUUACGUAGUAACCCGAGCAGAAUAAAUAGUGCAUAUAAUGUCUUCAUGUUGCAUGCUAGUAUUGUCGAAUUCAUAUGUUCAUGCUAUGCUCAUGUUGUUCUAGCUGUAUCAUGUUCAUGUUGCGCAAGUCAUGUUGUUAUGAGGAUCUCAUGUUAAUUCCUGCUUAACAUGUAAAUGCCAUGCUGAUGUUUGUCUUGAAUGCUUCUGGUUGAUGUGAGCUUGCAAGUACAUUCAAUGUACUGACCUGGCGUGUCAUGCCAGCUUGCAGGUCGUGCCUAGAUUGCUUGCUUGUUUGGUGUUGUUCCUGUGUUCACGAGCUAGGAUAAGCUUUCCAGUCAGAGUCCCUGUGGAGUGGAGUUCACCACCGUCGUCGUUGUUCCGCUGCCAGUAGUUGUUCCGCUGCCUCAAGUUGCUAUGCUGCUUGCAUAGAGCAACUGAGGAUGGCGUAGUGUCGCCGUGCCGAUGUUAUUCAUUGUAAUAUCGGAGACCUUGUAUUCAUAUCCGUGUAUUAAUAGAAAUCUGGUUUGUUCUAUGCUAAGCAGUGCCGUAUUCCAGAAGACUUCACCUCGAUCUCUAGGCUGGAAUACGGGGCGUUGCGGUUUUCUCUGAGCCGGGGUGCCACAUCCUAUAUAUUGAAGAAAUACAUGGAAUUAAUACACCACCAAUGCCUAAGGUGGUAGAGGUAAAUUAUCUUAUAAAGUUUAAUGAUAAUGAUAAUCCUCACAAUAUGCAUCGAUCCUAGUCAAUGCCAUUAUGAGUUUGAAAACUACAUUAGAAAACAUGAUCACUUUAAUGCAAAUGUUAUGAAACAAUUGAAAUACAAUUCUGAUAUGAUUGCUCGCUUGAGUGACUUGUUAUUUACAAUCUCAAAUGAUGUUAGAGGUGUUGGAAAACAUGCUUCUAUGGUUCAAACUCAACUAGAACAAGUUGCUAAAUCACAAACAGAAUUGCUUGAUGAAAUGAAUCACAAUAUGCAUGACUUUGCUGUUAGAGUUGCAACUAGAGGAGGUAAAAUAACUCAGGAACCACUUUAUCCUGAGGGAUACCCAAAAAGAAUUGAA